Molecule: long non-coding RNA, 402 nt
Organism: Culex pipiens pallens (northern house mosquito)
Lineage: Eukaryota; Metazoa; Arthropoda; Insecta; Diptera; Culicidae
Exons: 2
Source: RefSeq, a predicted model, not a curated record
AUUUUCCUUGGACAGGAAAAGCCACUAGAAUGCUGGCAUAAAAACCUGCUUCUUUUCGGUUAAAAAAAUACAAUAAAUAAAUACAAUUAUAAAGUAAAUAAUGAACUGCGGCUGAAGACAGAACUCCAUCGGUGGAAACCUUUACAGGAGUUCGGAACUGGCUGUUACGGGCUGGAAAGAAAAUAAAAGAAAAAAAGAACCUACGAGAUGAAUGUGGCAAAUGAAAAUAUAGAAUGGACAACUGUAUCGGAACAAUAAAGGAAACAUGAAGUUGAGCUAGAUACAAUUUCAAACGAUCUUUGAAAAUGCUUAGGGAUGAACAUAAGCCAAAUUUAUUAAAAAAGAAAUUGAAGUAAUUAGCACCUUUGAAGGUUAUACUACGUUCACCAGACAAAGUGGAAA